AUACUCUGGUUUCUCUUCAAAUUGUAGAAAUCUUUUGUCCUUUACUGAAAAUUUCCGUGGAGAUGAGAAAAUUUUAAACCAGGUUUUGAGGCCUUGUUUCAGCAAGGC
Molecule: small nuclear RNA, 108 nt
Filed under: Marmota marmota marmota (Alpine marmot)
Lineage: Eukaryota; Metazoa; Chordata; Mammalia; Rodentia; Sciuridae
Description: U5 spliceosomal RNA (ENSMMMG00000006471.1)
Rfam family: U5 spliceosomal RNA
About the family: U5 RNA is a component of both types of known spliceosome. The precise function of this molecule is unknown, though it is known that the 5' loop is required for splice site selection and p220 binding, and that both the 3' stem-loop and the Sm site are important for Sm protein binding and cap methylation.
Source: Rfam by way of RNAcentral